GAAGCUGACCUGCCAGGUCCCAGCAUCAGCUCCCGCUCAGCAGAGGGACAACAGUAGGAUCAUGCAGCUGCAUAGGCAGAAGGAAGGCAUGUGUGAAAUCAAGACUCUGGUAGUGCUGGCUAGAGGCGGGUCCAGUCCAGUAUUUAAAGACGCCAGCUGAGAUCUCCAUUGUGCGAGGUGUUGCACAAACACACAGCAAGAGACACUCCCUGCCUUCAAGAGCUCACAGUUAAAGCAUGAUGGAAGGACCCCGG
Molecule: long non-coding RNA, 254 nt
Organism: Chelonia mydas (Green sea turtle)
Lineage: Eukaryota; Metazoa; Chordata; Testudines; Cheloniidae
Exons: 3
Source: RefSeq, a predicted model, not a curated record